RNAcentral lists this long non-coding RNA (340 nucleotides) under Fukomys damarensis (Damara mole-rat). RNAcentral's name for it is "lncRNA (ENSFDAG00000030381.1)". Lineage: Eukaryota; Metazoa; Chordata; Mammalia; Rodentia; Bathyergidae. The record is from RNAcentral.
CCAAGGGGCGCCGACUGCUUCCGGUGCACAGCGCGAGAGGCCUCGGAGCCGGCCUGAGCCGCAGCCUGGAACUGCAGGAGCCCAGCCCGUCACCUGAGUUCAAACCACCGUUCUGCCUACAGCAGCAAGAGUAGAGAUUUACAGAACCCAGGAUGUCUGGUGACCAACAAGCAGCAGCAGUCUCUCAUCAGAAAAGCAGAGAAGCCCACAUUUGUGAUGACCUUCGUGCUUGCCUGUCCAUCAUGCCUCCCAGCAGCUCCUUUUGGCCUGCAACCUCCAGGUAAGAGAGCCUUUGAUGGUAAUAGCUUUUGUCUUAUUUAACUUGCUAGAUUUCCAGAUA